This 479-nucleotide non-coding RNA is filed under the name Clostridium sulfidigenes. Its description in RNAcentral is "Bacterial large subunit ribosomal RNA". It matches the Rfam family "Bacterial large subunit ribosomal RNA", at positions 1280 to 1762 of the family's 2925-position model. Lineage: Bacteria; Bacillati; Bacillota; Clostridia; Eubacteriales; Clostridiaceae. The record is from Rfam by way of RNAcentral.
AUGCAGAAGUGAGAAUGUUGGCAUAAGUAGCGAGAGCUAGGUGAGAAUCCUAGCGGUCGAAAACCUAAGGUUUCCUGAGGAAGGCUCGUCCUCUCAGGGUUAGUCGGGACCUAAGCCGAGGCCGAAAGGCGUAGGUGAUGGACAACGGGUUGAUAUUCCCGUACCACUUGCAGACGUUAUUACAAAUGGGGUGACGCAGGAGGAUAGGUUGUGCAUACUAUUGGAUGUAUGUUUAAGCAUUUAGGAGUAGCUAGUAGGCAAAUCCGCUAGCCGAAUCUGAGGUGUGAUGAGGAGCUCAAUAGAGCGAAGUAACUGAUUCCACGCUGCCAAGAAAAGCCUCUAUGGAGGAAGCAAGUGCCCGUACCGCAAACCGACACAGGUAGGUGAGGAGAGAAUCCUAAGACCAUCGGAAGAACUGCUGUUAAGGAACUCGGCAAAUUGACCCCGUAACUUCGGGAGAAGGGGUGCCUACGCAAGUA